Molecule: long non-coding RNA, 423 nt
Filed under: Brachypodium distachyon (stiff brome)
Lineage: Eukaryota; Viridiplantae; Streptophyta; Magnoliopsida; Poales; Poaceae
Description: long non-coding RNA (BDIS_LNC002612)
Source: RNAcentral
ACCCCAACCACAUGUCCACUUGUGCAAUGUGCGUGCCGGUGAGGUGGACAUAUGGGGCUGUGGAACUGCCUGUCUCCACGUGAGUGUACAUUUAUUUGGAGUCUGCGUGAGGUUCGGAACCUGGGAAGGAUGCGUGGCAGAGAAUACAGCCAUUCAUGACAGGUAACUCAUCUGGUGGCCAGCCAUGCCAGUGAGAUUGAAGUACUGUUUCCUAAGCCAACGGGCAACCGGAGGCAGGAUCACCCAAAUUCAGAAGAUAUUACGAAUACGUGGCAGAUUUAGUACAAGGGUCGGAGGGAGUAGGUGGGUUGACGAAGUAUGCUCGUGUAUCUCUAAAGAAUUUAAAUACAAAAAUUUCAUCUACGGAUAGAGAAACAGAAAAAACAAACAAAUUAAACUAUGUGUUAAAAAAAUAUUUUAGUA